Molecule: long non-coding RNA, 882 nt
Organism: Platichthys flesus (European flounder)
Lineage: Eukaryota; Metazoa; Chordata; Actinopteri; Pleuronectiformes; Pleuronectidae
Exons: 2
Source: RefSeq, a predicted model, not a curated record
AGUGCUGGAGUCCAGUCUCUCUGGACACAAACACCAUUUGUGGAAUGGGAUUUAAAAAUAGCAGCAUGUGGAGAAAUUAGAGGAAGAAAAAACUACCUGGGAGAGAAAAAGAGGUCAAAGGCUGGCGUCUAUAAAUGGAGGAGCUUGAGAGACAAUGAGUGAAUUGAGUCCAAAGGGGACAACACACGUUCUAGAAUUACAAGUGCACCUGUGGACCACGAAGCGGUCAUGCAGCAGAAUCUAAUGGAGCAGUUCACUUACAGCACUUCUUCUCCCGCAGGUCGGAUUUCUUGGCUUCUGCGCAGCCGUUGUCCCUCUGAGAGCUGGACAUGAUGUUGUCUCAGUGGGCAGCUCCUGUAGAGGGAACACAAGGGAAUCGAACGUGUGGUGUUUCUGACUUUGUGUAAACCUGGCAACACGGACCGACUCUGCCACAUCAUCCGACGCAGACACACACGGAGACGCUGAGACAUGUCUUCUAUCAGCAGCUCAUUCAGUGUUUAUAAUGAUUUAUGUAGCUUUUACCUGAUCGCUGGGUGAAUGUGACGAGCACAGCUGGACGGAGACACAUCUGGACACGAGGGGGAUCCGUGGGUCUGCCGCACCGGGAGUUUGCGCGCACCGCAGCGGGCUGAGGAGCCUCUCCGGUCGGCCUGUCCUUGGUCCUCAGUCCCGGCGGCUCCGUCAGCUGGAGCUGGAGGUGUGUCUCCGUGCGUCACAUGUCCCUGCGCGGCCGUAAUGUUCGUAAUAGAUCCGGAGCAGGAUGCGUCAAUGGCAUAGAUCACGUUUAAUAAUUAAAAUUCUGUUAAUAUUUUGUGAGCACAGCAACAAAUCCCAACAUACUUUAUCUUCAAGCACUUUCAAUAAUAAUUUUAAAUAUUA